CCUACGGGCGGCAGCAGUGAGGAAUAUUGGUCAAUGGACGAGAGUCUGAACCAGCCAAGUAGCGUGAAGGAUGACUGCCCUAUGGGUUGUAAACUUCUUUUAUAAAGGAAUAAAACGAGGCACGUGUGCCUUUUCGCACGUACUUUAUGAAUAAGGAUCGGCUUACUCCGUUCCAGCAGACGCGGUAAUACGGAGGAUCCGAGCGUUAUCCGGAUUUAUUGGGUUUAAAGGGAGCGUAGAUGGGUUGUUAAGUCAGUUGUGAAAGUUUGCGGCCUAAACGUAAGAUUGCAAUUGAUACUGGCAGUCUUGAGUACAGUUGAGGUAAGCGGAAUUCGUGGUGUAGCGGUGAAAUGCUUAGAUAUCACGAAGAACCCCGAUUGCGAAGGCAGCUUACUAAACUGUGACUGACAUUGAUGCUCGAAAGUGUGGGUAUCAAACAGGAUUAGAUACCCGGGUAGUC
Molecule: ribosomal RNA, 460 nt
Filed under: uncultured bacterium
Lineage: Bacteria
Description: partial 16S ribosomal RNA
Rfam family: Bacterial small subunit ribosomal RNA
Source: RNAcentral